This 253-nucleotide ribosomal RNA is filed under the name uncultured bacterium. RNAcentral's name for it is "partial 16S ribosomal RNA". It matches the Rfam family "Bacterial small subunit ribosomal RNA", at positions 524 to 776 of the family's 1533-position model. The record is from RNAcentral.
UACGAAGGGUGCUAGCGUUGCUCGGAAUCACUGGGCGUAAAGGGUGCGUAGGCGGGUCUUUAAGUCAGAGGUGAAAUCCUGGAGCUCAACUCCAGAACUGCCUUUGAUACUGAGGAUCUUGAGUACGGGAGAGGUGAGUGGAACUGCGAGUGUAGAGGUGAAAUUCGUAGAUAUUCGCAAGAACACCAGUGGCGAAGGCGGCUCACUGGCCCGUUACUGACGCUGAGGCACGAAAGCGUGGGGAGCAAACAGG